RNAcentral lists this ribosomal RNA (460 nucleotides) under uncultured bacterium. RNAcentral describes it as "partial 16S ribosomal RNA". It matches the Rfam family "Bacterial small subunit ribosomal RNA", at positions 338 to 795 of the family's 1533-position model. The record is from RNAcentral.
CCUACGGGAGGCAGCAGUGAGGAAUAUUGGUCAAUGGACGAGAGUCUGAACCAGCCAAGUAGCGUGAAGGAUGACUGCCCUAUGGGUUGUAAACUUCUUUUAUAUGGGAAUAAAAUGUUCCACGUGUGGGAUUUUGUAUGUACCAUAUGAAUAAGGAUCGGCUAACUCCGUGCCAGCAGCCGCGGUAAUACGGAGGAUCCGAGCGUUAUCCGGAUUUAUUGGGUUUAAAGGGAGCGUAGGUGGAUGUUUAAGUCAGUUGUGAAAGUUUGCGGCUCAACCGUAAAAUUGCAGUUGAAACUGGCAGUCUUGAGUACAGUAGAGGUGGGCGGAAUUCGUGGUGUGGCGGUGAAAUGCUUAGAUAUCACGAAGAACUCCGAUUGCGAAGGCAGUUCACUGGACUGCAACUGACACUGAGGCUCGAAAGUGUGGGUAUCAAACAGGAUUAGAUACCCGAGUAGUC